Small nuclear RNA from Monodelphis domestica (gray short-tailed opossum), 110 nucleotides. The record is from Ensembl. Lineage: Eukaryota; Metazoa; Chordata; Mammalia; Didelphimorphia; Didelphidae.
GUGCUCAUUUUGGCAUCACGUGUCCUAAAAUUGGAAUGAUACUGAGAAGAUAAGAAUGGUCCCUGCAUAAGGAUGAAAUGAAAAUUUAUUGUGCUCCAUAAAAAAUAUUU